GUGUAGUUCAGUAGUAGAACACUUAUCUUGUAUGUAUGUGGCCCUUGGUUCCAUUCCUAGCAC
This 63-nucleotide transfer RNA is filed under the name Cavia porcellus (domestic guinea pig). It matches the Rfam family "tRNA", at positions 5 to 66 of the family's 71-position model. Rfam says of the family: Transfer RNA (tRNA) molecules are approximately 80 nucleotides in length. Lineage: Eukaryota; Metazoa; Chordata; Mammalia; Rodentia; Caviidae. The record is from Rfam by way of RNAcentral.